This 229-nucleotide non-coding RNA is filed under the name Pan troglodytes (chimpanzee). Lineage: Eukaryota; Metazoa; Chordata; Mammalia; Primates; Hominidae. The record is from RNAcentral.
UUGCAACAGCAAGCAUGGACUUUGCAGACCGAAAGACUUGGGUUUGAAUCCCAGCUCUGUCACCAUCCGACUGUGUGAUAUGGGGUUUUGCAGGCUCAUCCUUGGGGCCAGGACUAUAGAGAGGCAAGUGACCAGACGCCGAAGACAAAAAUUCCUCCAGGUUCAAACUUGCCCUACCCUGCUUUGAUGCAUAAGCAGUUGACUCAGUAAAGAUGUGUCUCUGACCCAG